This 253-nucleotide ribosomal RNA is filed under the name uncultured bacterium. Its description in RNAcentral is "partial 16S ribosomal RNA". It matches the Rfam family "Bacterial small subunit ribosomal RNA", at positions 524 to 776 of the family's 1533-position model. The record is from RNAcentral.
UACGAAGGGUGCAAGCGUUACUCGGAAUUACUGGGCGUAAAGCGUGCGUAGGCGGUUUGUUAAGUCCGUUGUGAAAGCCCUGGGCUCAACCUGGGAAUUGCAGUGGAUACUGGCGAGCUAGAGUGCGGUAGAGGAUGGUGGAAUUCCCGGUGUAGCGGUGAAAUGCGUAGAGAUCGGGAGGAACACCCGUGGCGAAGGCGACUUCCUGGCCUGUUCUUGACGCUGAGGCGCGAAAGCUAGGGUAGCAAACGGG